RNAcentral lists this unclassified non-coding RNA (383 nucleotides) under Mortierella sp. Its description in RNAcentral is "partial contains 5.8S ribosomal RNA, internal transcribed spacer 2, and large subunit ribosomal RNA". The stretch from base 1 to 71 matches the Rfam family "5.8S ribosomal RNA", at positions 84 to 154 of the family's 154-position model. Lineage: Eukaryota; Fungi; Mortierellomycota; Mortierellomycetes; Mortierellales; Mortierellaceae. The record is from RNAcentral.
GUGAGUCAUCGAAUCUUUGAACGCAUAUUGCGCUCUUUGGUAUUCCGAAGAGCAUGCUUGUUUGAGUAUCAGUAAACACCUCAAAGCUUUUGGAUUUUUUUUUGAAAGCUUUGGACUUGAGCAAUCCCAACGCCAAUCUUUUUCAGAUCGGCGGCGGGUUGCUUGAAAUGCAGGUGCAGCUGGACUUUCUCCUGAGCUAAAAGCAUAUUCAUUUAGUCCCGUCAAACGGAUUAUUACUUUUGCUGCAGCUAACAUAAAGGGAGUUUGACCGUAUUGGCUGACUGAUGCAGGAUUUCACAAGGGUCGGCAACGAUUCUUGUUAAACUCGAUCUCAAAUCAAGUAAGACUACCCGCUGAACUUAAGCAUAUCAAUAAGCGGAGGA